GAGUUUGAUCAUGGCUCAGGAUGAACGCUGGCGGCGUGCCUAACACAUGCAAGUCGAACGAAGCAUAUAGAAGGAAGUUUUCGGAUGGAAUUUUAUAUGACUUAGUGGCGGACGGGUGAGUAACGCGUGGAUAAUCUGCCUUACACAGCGGGAUAACAAGUGGAAACAGUUGCUAAUACCGCAUAAGCACACAGUAUCGCAUGAUACAGGGUGAAAAGAUUUAUCGGUGUAAGAUGAGUCCGCGUCCCAUUAGCUAGUUGGUGAGGUAAAAGCUUACCAAGGCGACGAUGGGUAGCCGGCCUGAGAGGGUGAACGGCCACAUUGGGACUGAGACACGGCCCAGACUCCUACGGGAGGCAGCAGUGGGGGAUAUUGCACAAUGGGCGAAAGCCUGAUGCAGCGACGCCGCGUGAAGGAUGAAGUAUUUCGGUAUGUAAACUUCUAUCAGCAGGGAAGAAAGUGACGUACCUGACUAAGAGCCCUG
This 484-nucleotide ribosomal RNA is filed under the name Lachnospiraceae bacterium canine oral taxon 024. Its description in RNAcentral is "bacterial SSU rRNA". It matches the Rfam family "Bacterial small subunit ribosomal RNA", at positions 9 to 495 of the family's 1533-position model. The record is from RNAcentral. Lineage: Bacteria; Bacillati; Bacillota; Clostridia; Lachnospirales; Lachnospiraceae.